UUCUAAACACAAUAAUUUAUAGUUUAUAAUAAAUAAUUUUAUUGUGUCGUGUACACCAUCAAUUGUAUUAUCUACAUUUUUAGAAUAUGAUCUAUGCCCUGCAUUGUAUUUUUUAUGGAUCAAAAUUGUAUGAUAAUAUAUAAUAAAAUUGUUUUAUAUACUAUUUAAAAUGUUGUGCUAUAUAUUUUAUACUUUUCAACAUUUAUCAAUUUACGUUGAGCUAUUAUUUAUAUGAAAAUAUAUGUAAAAUAAUACAUUAAAUAUUAAUUUAUAUUUUAUUUAUAUAUUAUUUAAGUGAUUCUGUUAAAUAUAGGUAUAUUUUAUUAUUAUUUAUAUUGAUAGAAAGAUAAUAAUGCUAAAUGUUAGAAUUAUGUAGUUUCUUAAUGGCAUUAAAAUGUAAUUAAAUAGUUGUUUUAAUUUAUGAUCAAUUUAGGAAAUGAUUUAUUAAAUUAGGAAAUGACAAAUCAUACUUAAAUAUAGAUUCAGUAAUUACAGAGACGUUCUAGUGUACAUAAAUUGUAAAACUAAAGGGAAAAUCAAUUUUGUACUUUUUUUAAUAAUAAAGAUUUAAGAGUCAUUAUUGGGUCCAGGUGAACCUAUAUCUUCACCUCUUAUAUAUCCUACCUUAUUUAUGACAAAAAAAUAAAAAAUAAUACUAAUUAUCAAAUAAAGUUGACAUGAACUCUAAAUUCUAAAAUAUCAUUGAAAUUGUAAACACCAAAUCCUAAACUCUAGGGAUUAACACAAAACCUAUACUUCAAACUCUAAACUUUAGAUCCUAGAGUUAACUCUAAACCCUAGAAUUAACUCUCAACUUCAGGGUUAUCUUAAACCCUAAACGUUGUCAACAAAACCAUAAACCUUAAAAUCUAGAUCUUAAAUUCUAAACCCUAUGGUUUAGGAUCAACCCUAAGAUUUAACAUGAAUGUUGGGAUUUAACGUUAACCUUAGGAAUUAAAAUUUAGAGUUUUAGGUUUAGAGUUUGAACUAUAGAGUUUAAUGUUAAUUUUAGAAUUUAGAGUCUAGUGUUUAGAAUUUAAAUUAGGGUUUAAAGUUUUAUAAUGUCAAAUUUUUAAACAAUUAGUAUUAUUUUUUUAUUUUUAUUUUUUGUCAUAAAUAAGAUGUGACGUGGCAGAUUAUUAUUGGUUGUUAUAUAAGAAGUCUAUAGGGUAGGCCUGAGUAUUUUACCCGAUGCCCGAAACCGCACCCGAACCUGAUUCAAAAAAUCCGAACCGAAAUCUGAACCAAAGUAGCAAAAUACCCGAAUGGGUAUUGAGUUAGGAGAGAUUGGAUAUCCGAACCCGAACAUGUAAUAUCCGAACCCGAAUGGAUAUCCGAAGAUAACCGAACAUAUGUAUACAUAACCUUAUAUUUAUAGUUUACUUCUCUCAUUUUAUUCAAAAUAUUUAUAUUGAUGCUACACAUAGUUUAAGAUCAGAUAGUAUACAUAUAAUUAUGGACUAUUCAAUUGACAAACAUGUCAAGCUUCUUGUUUCGUACAUUAACAAAAAUUGUAUCUAUAAUUUCUAAACAAUAACCAAAUAAGUGUCUUUUAGAUUUAAAUCUUAUCUCCAAACAUAUUAAUCACUUAAACUAUUAAAAAUUUAAAAUUAAUUAAGUAAAGUGUAUUUUUUAAAAUACAAAAGAUUUUAAAUAAUGAAGAAUUUGAUUUUUUUUUCUUUCAAAAUCUUAAUAUCCAAACCCGGUCCACAAUAACUGAACUCGAACUAAAAAUACUUGAACCCGACUCGAAGUAUAAAACUACCCGAACGGGUUUUAUAUCCCUAUACCAAAAUACUCGAAAAUCUGAAAUACCUGAUCCGGAUAUCCGAACGUCCAUCCCUACUGUAAAGGGUGAACCCAAGAAUUAGUCUUUAUUUAAUUUUUUUCAUAUAAGAAAAAGUCAAAAGGAAAUAAAACCGAUUUUAACUAUUACUCGUAUAAUAUUUAAUGGAUGGAGGCAGAUUGUAAAGGAAGUAGUUAGGACACAAAAAUACAUUCAAUGCACAUAGAUAUAUAUAUAUAUAUAUGUGGUUUUCAUUUUUUGGGCAAAUAUAUAGAAACUCAUCCACAAAAUAUAUUAUAUAUGUGGUUUUCAAGCUCUGCAAAAUAUACAGAAAUUCAUCCACAGAAAAUAACAUUAUUGUUUGGUCAUGACCAAGGUUAAGCGUAAACCAAGACGGUGCGUUUGCUGCAUAGCCUCUGGUAUUGUCUUCGUUGUCUUCCUUGUCUUUAUCAGUGCCUUGAUCUUUGCAUUUGCCACUUACAAAGCCAAAACCAAAAACCAAUGAUUCGGAUCCAGACUACAGCUGUACAAAGCAUCUCCUCGCAUAUAGUAGUGUCCAUAUUCUUAUGAAGGAUUGUGUGAGUUUCAAACAUGAGACAGGGAAGACAGUAGUUUGUAUACAAGGAGAAGCAAGUGAGUAAUAUUGAUCUUCCCUCAGUCUGAAGUGGCAUAAGUGGAAAGAUUGUGUCGGAAACAAAGACAGAUCCCAGAGAAAAUCAAGUUGUUGGGACAUCUUCAAGAAACACACUUAGUUGCUAUAUUAUUGAAAGAUCAGCGUUGACUUCCCUUCCAUGAAAGUGCAGAGUCAAGAAUGUGAUUGUAUUCUUCAUUGUCUUCCUUAGCUUUCAUUCUUUCCACUCCACUUGAAUUUUUGUAUCUUGUUUUUUUUUUUUGAAGUACAUAUGUUAGAUUUAGAACUGCUUUCUGUUCAUGCUUAGAAAUUUGUAACAAAGUAGUAAAGAACAAACCAAGAAUUGAAUUCUA
Brassica napus (rape) is the source of this 2770-nucleotide long non-coding RNA. RefSeq lists it as uncharacterized. Lineage: Eukaryota; Viridiplantae; Streptophyta; Magnoliopsida; Brassicales; Brassicaceae. The transcript is spliced from 2 exons. The record is from RefSeq and is a predicted model, not a curated record.